GGGGGAUUAGCUCAGCUGGCUAGAGCACCUGUUUUGCACGCAGGAGGUCAUCGGUUCGACUCCGAUAUUCUCCA
Molecule: transfer RNA, 74 nt
Filed under: Blattabacterium punctulatus
Lineage: Bacteria; Pseudomonadati; Bacteroidota; Flavobacteriia; Flavobacteriales; Blattabacteriaceae
Also listed under: 3 other names
Description: tRNA-Ala
Rfam family: tRNA
About the family: Transfer RNA (tRNA) molecules are approximately 80 nucleotides in length.
Source: RNAcentral